CCUACGGGAGGCAGCAGUGAGGAAUAUUGGUCAAUGGACGAGAGUCUGAACCAGCCAAGUAGCGUGAAGGAUGACUGCCCUAUGGGUUGUAAACUUCUUUUAUAAAGGAAUAAAACGAGGCACGUGUGCCUUUUUGCAUGUACUUUAUGAAUAAGGAUCGGCUAACUCCGUGCCAGCAGCCGCGGUAAUACGGAGGAUCCGAGCGUUAUCCGGAUUUAUUGGGUUUAAAGGGAGCGUAGAUGGGUUUUUAAGUCAGUUGUGAAAGUUUGCGGCUCAACCGUAAAAUUGCAGUUGAUACUGGCAGUCUUGAGUACAGUUGAGGUAGGCGGAAUUCGUGGUGUAGCGGUGAAAUGCUUAGAUAUCACGAAGAACCCCGAUUGCGAAGGCAGCUUACUAAACUGUGACUGACAUUGAUGCUCGAAAGUGUGGGUAUCGAACAGGAUUAGAUACCCCGGUAGUC
Molecule: ribosomal RNA, 460 nt
Filed under: uncultured bacterium
Lineage: Bacteria
Description: partial 16S ribosomal RNA
Rfam family: Bacterial small subunit ribosomal RNA
Source: RNAcentral